This 240-nucleotide unclassified non-coding RNA is filed under the name soil metagenome. Its description in RNAcentral is "partial contains 5.8S ribosomal RNA, internal transcribed spacer 2, and large subunit ribosomal RNA". The record is from RNAcentral.
AAGACUAUAGACCUGCGGAGUACCUGCGGAGGGAUCAUUACCGAGUUAGGGUAGUCACUCACUGCCCGACCUCCCAACCCUGUGUCUACCACACUUUGUCGUUGCUUCGGCGGACCGGUUGACCAACUGGUCGUGACCGCCGGGGGCUGGCUCUGUCCCCCCUGGAGAGCGUCCGUCGAUGGCCCAACCACAAAACUCUUGUACCGAAACGUGUCGUCUGAAUUAUAUUUGAGAAAUCAA